Raphanus sativus (radish) is the source of this 807-nucleotide long non-coding RNA. RefSeq lists it as uncharacterized. Lineage: Eukaryota; Viridiplantae; Streptophyta; Magnoliopsida; Brassicales; Brassicaceae. The transcript is spliced from 3 exons. The record is from RefSeq and is a predicted model, not a curated record.
CGGACCCAGCCCAUUUGUUUAGGAGUGUCAGAAGUUUAAGCUUCAGUCUAGCAUAAAACAUUUUUUAUAAAAAUUAGUAAAAAGAUGGUCUAUAAUGGACUUGAACUCGGGAAUGAUGGGUCAAUAGAGGGAGCUUUUAGCCAACGAGGCAACAAUUUCUUCAUGUCCAAAGACCAAACUUUGGAAGUUUUGUAUUUAACCUGUGUCAGGUGACACCCCUUCCUAACACAUGGGUCUGCCUCUGAGUUCAGUGUGAAGGCCGGCCAAAACGUGGGCCAAGCACAAGUGAAGAGGGAUGAUUGCAAAGUAGACAACAACACCAACUCUUCUCAAACUUCAGGCUUUCUCCAGCAGAAAGGGGAGAAGGUGAAGAGCAUGGCACAGGGAGCAUCAGAUGCUGUUGAUAUUUGCCUAAGUGUUGAGAAGUCUCUAACCCAAGAAGAAGGUUUCAGAGUUACCAUUAAGACUAAAAGAAAGCAUGCAGAGCUCACGUGAUGUUUUAACGGUUUAGAGAGACAGAGGAGUAAUUAACCUCAGUCACUGCGAGUUGGCCUUUGUCUUCUUCCUCUGUACGGGAAAAGCAAAAGGAGAACAGAGGAGAGAGAGAGGAGCGUUGCACCGUCAUAGCAAUGCUAUAAAGCCGACAAAGAGCUGAAACAUUAAAGUUAAGAGAGGAAGUAGAGAAGCAGAUAACGGCCGCAAGGCUAGCGUUUCGUUAUAUCUCUAAAGGUUAUUUGUAACCAAGCUUUCUAGUGGAUUUCCGAGCAAGCCUCGGCCUAGACGUAGCGACCUUACACUGAGGCGUGA